Molecule: transfer RNA, 87 nt
Filed under: Candidatus Veblenbacteria bacterium
Lineage: Bacteria; Candidatus Vebleniibacteriota
Description: tRNA-Ser
Rfam family: tRNA
About the family: Transfer RNA (tRNA) molecules are approximately 80 nucleotides in length.
Source: RNAcentral
GGAGAGGUGGCUGAGCGGUCUAAAGCAACAGGUUGCUAACCUGUGACUCCGUAAGGGGUCCCGUGGGUUCAAAUCCCACCCUCUCCG